This 566-nucleotide ribosomal RNA is filed under the name Neofusicoccum parvum. Its description in RNAcentral is "eukaryotic LSU rRNA". The stretch from base 201 to 354 matches the Rfam family "5.8S ribosomal RNA". Lineage: Eukaryota; Fungi; Ascomycota; Dothideomycetes; Botryosphaeriales; Botryosphaeriaceae. The record is from RNAcentral.
UGAACCUGCGGAAGGAUCAUUACCGAGUUGAUUCGAGCUCCGGCUCGACUCUCCCACCCAAUGUGUACCUACCUCUGUUGCUUUGGCGGGCCGCGGUCCUCCGCACCGGCGCCCUUCGGGGGGCUGGCCAGCGCCCGCCAGAGGACCAUAAAACUCCAGUCAGUGAACUUCGCAGUCUGAAAAACAAGUUAAUAAACUAAAACUUUCAACAACGGAUCUCUUGGUUCUGGCAUCGAUGAAGAACGCAGCGAAAUGCGAUAAGUAAUGUGAAUUGCAGAAUUCAGUGAAUCAUCGAAUCUUUGAACGCACAUUGCGCCCCUUGGUAUUCCGAGGGGCAUGCCUGUUCGAGCGUCAUUUCAACCCUCAAGCUCUGCUUGGUAUUGGGCCUCGUCCUCCACGGACGCGCCUUAAAGACCUCGGCGGUGGCGUCUUGCCUCAAGCGUAGUAGAAAACACCUCGCUUUGGAGCGCACGGCGUCGCCCGCCGGACGAACCUUUGAAUUAUUUCUCAAGGUUGACCUCGGAUCAGGUAGGGAUACCCGCUGAACUUAAGCAUAUCAAUAAGCG